RNAcentral lists this transfer RNA (63 nucleotides) under Hippodamia convergens (convergent lady beetle). Its description in RNAcentral is "tRNA-Ile". Lineage: Eukaryota; Metazoa; Arthropoda; Insecta; Coleoptera; Coccinellidae. The record is from RNAcentral.
GUUAGGACGCCUGAUGAAAGGAUUGCCUUGAUGAGGCAAAACAUGUGCCCCCCACUCCUAAUU